GAAAGAGUAUGAACUAUCUAAAUAAUGUCAAACGCGUUACUACAAAAUUUAUUUAAUGGCAAGUAAGACUUCGACAACCAAGGAGUAAUCAACAAUGCAUGCAUUAGUGAAAAUUAUUGAAUUGAGCAAUGAUAUGAGCAACGAAUAGUAAUUUUUGUAAUUUAUUAUUUAAUUAAAAAUUUAUUCUACUCGUAAAGAAAUUAAAUUAAAAUUUACAAAUCCCUA
RNAcentral lists this long non-coding RNA (225 nucleotides) under Cicer arietinum (chickpea). Its description in RNAcentral is "long non-coding RNA (CARI_LNC001983)". The record is from RNAcentral. Lineage: Eukaryota; Viridiplantae; Streptophyta; Magnoliopsida; Fabales; Fabaceae.